This is a non-coding RNA of Ictidomys tridecemlineatus (thirteen-lined ground squirrel), 435 nucleotides long. The record is from RefSeq and is a predicted model, not a curated record. NCBI's taxonomy places the organism in Eukaryota, Metazoa, Chordata, Mammalia, Rodentia, Sciuridae.
CUGUGAGUGGUUGGCUGAUGCUGCCUGGUCCUGUAGUGUUGGAUACACUUUAAUCCUUCCCUCCCCUGCUUGCUCACUCCUGGAUCAUCCUGAAUGUUCCAUUGGAAGUGCCUGUUGUGACUGCCCAGCUUCUGAGCUCUCCUACUAGGACACCAGAUGCUAUGCUACAUCUUUAGGAAACAGCAACUAACAAGAGAAACAUUGUUUCUGCCUUCAUAGAAGUUAAAGUCAAACACAGAAGCAGAUAACAGGAAUCCAGCAGAUGCUCCCCAUUCUGAUUAGAACAGAGAAGAAAAUGUUAAAGGACCUCAGACUGGAGACCUCUCCAUCUCGACAGUCACCGUUUAUGCUGAAACGUGCACUGUUUUCAGCAAGAAGUAUGAUCGCCGUUUUCAAAGGUCAAAUAAAUCACCUUUAAAGUCGUGAAAAGAUAAA